This 74-nucleotide transfer RNA is filed under the name Marinobacter sp. AC-23. It matches the Rfam family "tRNA". Rfam says of the family: Transfer RNA (tRNA) molecules are approximately 80 nucleotides in length. Their secondary structure includes four short double-helical elements and three loops (D, anti-codon, and T loops). The record is from Rfam by way of RNAcentral. Lineage: Bacteria; Pseudomonadati; Pseudomonadota; Gammaproteobacteria; Pseudomonadales; Marinobacteraceae.
GGCAAGGUAGCUCAGUUGGUUAGAGCACGGCACUCAUAAUGCCGGGGUCGGCGGUUCAACUCCGCCCCUUGCUA